AUCCUGGCUCCUUGCGCUGGAGCAGCAGCUGUUUACAUUCAGUGCAUUUUUUGCAACACCCUUACUAAGAAAAUGAGUGCUCUCAUGUGUUCUUGUUACCCUUGAAGUCAUCAGCAAUAGCACUUGUGCAGCUGAUGAAAUCAGUAUGCCAAUCCUUCCAAAAACUUGCUGAGUUUUUCAGCCAUGCCAGCUACCAACUGUAAGGCAAGCUCUGCUGUAGCUGCUGUAUGGCAACCUUAUUUAGACAUGCAGUAGUUCCAGACUUGAUUUAGCUGUCCACUCCCUUCUGGCUGUGAAGGAGUACAGACAAGAGUAAUAAAAAAAAAUUACUGAAGUGGCUUGAAUUUCAAGGGACUUUAAGGCACACAAGUGUUACUUACUUUCCCCAAGGAAACUUAGCACAGGACUUCAAGUUUUAUGUCUAUGUGAAGAAUUCCUAGUGCUCUGCGUGUAUGUGCUUGAUACUUCUCAACAGCUAACCUUCUCUUCAUUUACUUGUAAAGCUAUUAGAACGUGUUUCACAACAGUCUGGAUGACAUUUUGAGCACGUAGAGCCUCUGAAUGCGAGGAUGAAAGAGAUGCUUGUAUCAACACAAAACAUAGGUAUAGACUACAGCAUGACUGCUGUAUAUUUAAUUAUUUCAAAGCUCAGUUAACUUUUUACACAGAGGGGCAAGGACUGCAAUGAGGUGCAAAGGUUAUGGACUGUGCUUUCAGUUGUGUUCCUUAGAGCAGGCUUAUGGUACUCCUUAUGGUACCAUAAGUACUCCAGGUACUUAUGGUACUCCUGUACCAGGCUGAGCUGCCUGGGCAGGGGGAUGGCUCAGCUCAAGGUUAGGGCUGCCCCGUGCCUGACACAGCUGGGCCCAGCAGGGAAGAACUGUAUUAUGAUAAUUCCAAAUCACAGUUAACAGUUUAGUAGUAGUAAGUUUAUUGAAGUGUUCAUUCAAAGUUCUGCACUCUACUGGAUACAGUUCAUAACUUAAAGGCAAGAGACCAAAACAUCACGAUGGGUCCCAACUGGAAUAUUACAAAACUCACAUAAUCAUGUAUCAAGCAGUACAGUUAAACUGUUCAAUCAUUUUGGUCUUCAUCCCAGUCUUUCUUUCCUGAUGGAGGUUUAGGACCACCAGCUGGUUUCGCCAUUAUGAUUGAUACUACUGCUCAGGCUCAUCUCUCCAGUCAUCCUUAUCCCAAUGUCCUUGUUGUUUAGGGACUUUUGGACCGCCUGCUGUUUUUGCCAUAAUAAUCUGAUCGACUCGUAGGACAGUUACUGCUGCGUUUGUGGCCAGCUUGAUACCCCAGUAUUUUCCCAGGUAUGUGUCUAAUAUGCCAGCUUCUAACAUAUCUUUCACAGCAGCAGCUUCAGCCUCAAUAUCAAAUCCAACGUUUUUGUUGCCUUCCUGAUGCACAGCAUAAAGCUUGGAGAUGACUUCAUUUGCCUUUACUCCAGAAUUUUCUGCCAAUGCUCGAGGAAUGGCUUCAAAUGCUUCAGCGAACUUCUUGAUGGCAUAUUGGUCAAGCCCAGGACAAGUCUCUCCAUAAGACGUGAUUUGCUUGGCUAAUUCAAUCUCUGUUGCGCCACCUCCAGGAACAAGACGUUUGUCCCUUGUGAGCACUUUGAAGGUAUUUACGCCAUCAUCCACUGCUCUCUCGAUAUCAUCCAUCAGAUUGUCUGUAGAUCCACGAAUAAGUAUAGUAGAAAUAGCACCAUCCUCCUUUUCGUGCUUAAACACAACAACUUGCGUAUCUCCAACCUCUGAUAAAUACACACUAUUGCAGUGACCCAUUUCUUCUAGAGUAGGGGGAGUCAGUCUGGGUAGGGCUGUGGCACCAACAGUCUUGCACAGUCUUCUCAGAUCCCAUUUUGAGUUCAACCUGACUAUCAUAAGAUUGUAUUUGUUGGCAUAAUGAAGUGCCAUGUCUGCCACUUUGCCACCUGUUACAACUACAUUUGCACCGCUAUCAGCAAUAGCUUUGACUUGCAAAUCCAUUAGGUUUUCUUCUCCCUUGCUAAAAUUCAUCAGCUCUUCAGCAUUCUUUAUAAGUACGGUGCCCUUAGUUUCAGUUAUCAUACCAUCAAAAGGGCAGGAAUACACAGCUAUUUUUGCAUCUUUGACAGAAGUAACAUCUCCUUCAGUUUCCUUUUUAAAAACCAUGCCAUGUAGCACUGAUGAAGCAGAGACACCGGCACCCACAAUCUUGCACACUCUGAUAUUAUCAACGUUGAAAUGACCAGAAUCAGGAAGAAUAGAAACACAGGCCUGAGCAAUAAGCUUUGACAGAAAACUUUCAUUGCCAUACUGCUUGCUCAUUACUGAAGUAUGCAACAAAGAUCCCACUUCAUCAACAUCUCUAAGGUUCUUUGCAGAACAGCACACCAAAUCUGGAAGAAUUUCUAGAGCUUUCUUGCAUGCUUUUUCAUAUCCUUCAAUCACCUCUGAGACCGAUAAUCCCAUCCUCAGAAGGUCUUCUGCUAACUCCAGAAGGACUCCAGCAAAAACAAGAACAAAGUUAGUUCCAUCUCCAACUUCUUGCUCUUGCAUGUGGGAAGCCAUCACAAGCAUUUUUGCAGCAGGAUGCUGGACCUCCAACUCUCUCAAGAUAGUAGCAGCAUCAUUUGUAACAAAAAGCUUCUCCAGAUGAUUGAUAACCAUUUUGUUCAUUCCAUUGGGUCCAUAAGCUGUACGGGUGGUUUGAGCAAGUUCUUUGCAUGCCUGGAUGUUCCUGUAGACAGCUUCCUCUAGUCCUGAGUAAUGCUUCGCUCCCUCCUUGAGCAUCUGGGCAAAGCCCGGGGCCUUGGGGACGUGCAGCGCCAUGGCUCCGCUCCGCUCCGGCCGCGCCAAACCUCAGGAUGCUGGGACCGGCAGCGCGCAUGCGCGGUGAGCGAGGCGGACCCGCAGACACGGC
This 2910-nucleotide long non-coding RNA is filed under the name Gallus gallus (chicken). The record is from RNAcentral. Lineage: Eukaryota; Metazoa; Chordata; Aves; Galliformes; Phasianidae.